This 1138-nucleotide ribosomal RNA is filed under the name uncultured fungus. RNAcentral's name for it is "eukaryotic LSU rRNA". The stretch from base 1 to 669 matches the Rfam family "Eukaryotic large subunit ribosomal RNA", at positions 24 to 664 of the family's 3401-position model. Lineage: Eukaryota; Fungi. The record is from RNAcentral.
CCCGCUGAACUUAAGCAUAUCAAUAAGCGGAGGAAAAGAAACUAACAAGGAUUCCCCUAGUAACUGCGAGUGAAGCGGGAAGAGCUCAAAUUUAAAAUCUGGCGGUUCCGUGAGCUGUCCAAGUGGUAAUCUAGAGAUGUGCUAUCCGUGCUGGACCGUGUACAAGUCUCUUGGAAUGGAGCGUCAUAGAGGGUGAGAAUCCCGUCUUUGACAUGGACUACCAGCGCUUCUGUGAUGCACUCUCGAAGAGUCGAGUUGUUUGGGAAUGCAGCUCAAAAUGGGUGGUAAAUUCCAUCUAAAGCUAAAUAUGGGCGAGAGACCGAUAGCGAACAAGUACCGUGAGGGAAAGAUGAAAAGAACUUUGAAAAGAGAGUUAAACAGUACGUGAAAUUGUUGAAAGGGAAACGUUUCAAGUCAGUCGCGUCGGCUGAUACUCAACCUUGGUUCUCCUGCUGGCAUUACUCUCCAGAUGACGCAUCAUCAUCUAUGAUCACUGUAUGAUGGACGCGUGAGUGAGGUGUCCUCCUCGAAGGGGUAAUAACCUCUUGUCAGAUGCGAUGAUUGGGAUUGAGGAACUCAGCACUCUGCUACCGGGAUGCUGCUACAAUGGCUCUUAGCAAGCUCACUAUGAUCACAUAAUGGCUAGUACCGACACAUCUUCAAGCAUAGAACGUCUAGUGCGGGUAAACUUGCAGCACUACGCACUCAUGUGAGUAGCAGUUCUCAGCGUGACGUAGUCAUGCGCACACCUGUCUACUCGAGCGACUUGCCAUCCGCUCACAAUGUCACACAUGAUACGCCUCAUGAGCGAGCUGAGUCACAUCUUGUGUGCCUCACUCGCUACCUGAUUUACAGUCAUGGCACCUGGCUCGCCGCCCGCUUUCAAGAAGCGACACAUGCCCGGGCGAGCUGCAUUAUGGGAAUUGCCAACUCUUCCGGAUACGCCGGUUAUCUGACCGGGUGCCCUCUGCCGUUCCGUCUGCCGCUAAGCGGGAUGCCGCUCGGUCCAAGGGGGUGCGUCCGGGUGAUUCCAAGCAAUCUCGAGGAGCAGGGAAUGCAAAGUAAUUUUCCGGAAAUAAAAGGCCAAAAAAAAGGGCAAAGAACACCUUUAAAAAAGAACGGCCCUUUCCAGACGGCU